UGAGUAACACGUAUCCAACCUGCCGUCUACUCUUGGCCAGCCUUCUGAAAGGAAGAUUAAUCCAGGAUGGCAUCAUGAGUUCACAUGUCCGCAUGAUUAAAGGUAUUUUCCGGUAGACGAUGGGGAUGCGUUCCAUUAGAUAGUAGGCGGGGUAACGGCCCACCUAGUCAACGAUGGAUAGGGGUUCUGAGAGGAAGGUCCUCCACAUUGGAACUGAGACACGGUCCAA
RNAcentral lists this ribosomal RNA (229 nucleotides) under uncultured bacterium. RNAcentral describes it as "partial 16S ribosomal RNA". It matches the Rfam family "Bacterial small subunit ribosomal RNA", at positions 107 to 334 of the family's 1533-position model. The record is from RNAcentral.